Molecule: ribosomal RNA, 487 nt
Filed under: uncultured bacterium
Lineage: Bacteria
Description: partial 16S ribosomal RNA
Rfam family: Bacterial small subunit ribosomal RNA
Source: RNAcentral
GAUGAGCGCUAGCGAUAGGCUUAACACAUGCAAGUCGAGGGGCAGCACAAGGUAGCUUGCUCUCUGGGUGGCGACCGGCGCACGGGUGCGUAACGCGUAUGCAACUUGCCCUAUACAGGAGGAUAACCCGUCGAAAGACGGACUAAUACUGCGUAUGCUCACAACUUGGCAUCAAGUGGUGAGGAAAGAAAUUCGGUAUAGGAUAGGCAUGCGUCCCAUUAGCUUGUUGGUGAGGUAACGGCUCACCAAGGCAACGAUGGGUAGGGGAACUGAGAGGUUUAUCCCCCACACUGGUACUGAGACACGGACCAGACUCCUACGGGAGGCAGCAGUGAGGAAUAUUGGUCAAUGGGCGCGAGCCUGAACCAGCCAAGUCGCGUGAAGGAGGACUGUCUUAUGGAUUGUAAACUUCUUUUAUACGGGAAUAACAAGAGUCACGUGUGACUCCCUGCAUGUACCGUAUGAAUAAGCAUCGGCUAACUCCGUG